This is a long non-coding RNA of Amphiprion ocellaris (clown anemonefish), 696 nucleotides long. The record is from Ensembl. Lineage: Eukaryota; Metazoa; Chordata; Actinopteri; Pomacentridae.
GGAAGAGCUCCCAGCAUGCACCGCUGUCACCUCCACAGAGUGAAAGUAGCAGUUCCUCCUGAAGGUCAGAGAUUGCAGCAUCUGAGGGCCUUUUCAAAAGAAGAUGUAGUUGAUGAAGGCGUUCUGGAGCAGGACCAGAAAGACCACGACCAAGCAGCCUUGAGAUCUUAGGCAGCGUCUCCCUCAGACCAAAGAACUUCAGACUCUUCACAACCUGCUCAAACUCUUGGUACAGGACCUCACCACACGGGUCAAGAAGGUUUCUGUCUCAUUUCUACUCUGAAGCUCACCUUCUCCUGCUCAAACUGCUGACAAAUGUUUCUGCUGCUCUAAAGUCUGGUCUCCAGAACUUCCUAAACACUCUCAAAGUCUCUUCUGCUGCAGGUUGCUUUGUAGAACUGUUCCAGAAAACCUCACUAAACCACAUGGAGGAGCCUCAAGAUAGUCGUCCAAAUGAAACCAUACAAAAACCAAACUAGCACAACCCAAACGCUAAAGUCUCCUGCAGCCUACCAGAGAACCUCUGAGAACAGAGAAUCAGGACAGGAACUCUUACCUUCUGGACAACCAACGCUGGUUCACAAACAAGAAUACAGAAUGUGUCUGACCAAAAACCUCUGAAGACUCACUACAGCCAAGAUAAAGACACAACUCACCUGCACCAAAUCCACUAAUCACUGCACACAUUAGCACCAU